This 930-nucleotide ribosomal RNA is filed under the name uncultured bacterium. RNAcentral describes it as "bacterial SSU rRNA". It matches the Rfam family "Bacterial small subunit ribosomal RNA", at positions 1 to 891 of the family's 1533-position model. The record is from RNAcentral.
GGNGCUCUCCCNUAUGGUCGACCUGCAGGCGGCCGCGAAUUCACUAGUGAUUAGAGUUUGAUCCUGGCUCAGGACGAACGCUGGCGGUAUGCUUAACACAUGCAAGUCGAACGAGAAGAUCAGUUAAGAACCUUCGGGGGAAUAAGUGAUUGGAAAGAGGCGAACGGGUGAGUAACGCGUGGGUAACCUGCCCUAUGGAAAGGAAUAGCCUCGGGAAACUGGGAGUAAAGCCUUAUAUUAUGGAGAGAUCGCAUGGUCAUUUCAUGAAAACUCCGGUGCCAUAGGAUGGACCCGCGUCCCAUUAGCUAGUUGGUGAGAUAACAGCCCACCAAGGCGACGAUGGGUAACCGGUCUGAGAGGGCGAACGGUCACACUGGAACUGAGACACGGUCCAGACUCCUACGGGAGGCAGCAGUGGGGAAUAUUGCGCAAUGGGGGCAACCCUGACGCAGCAAUACCGCGUGAGUGAAGAAGGUUUUCGGAUCGUAAAGCUCUGUUAUUGGGGAAGAAAACAUGACGGUACCCAAUGAGGAAGUCCCGGCUAACUACGUGCCAGCAGCCGCGGUAAUACGUAGGGGACAAGCGUUGUCCGGAAUGACUGGGCGUAAAGGGCGCGUAGGCGGUCUGAUAAGUCAGAUGUGAAAGGUACCGGCUCAACCGGUGACGUGCAUUUGAAACUGUCAGACUUGAGUAUUGGAGAGGCAAGUGGAAUUCCUAGUGUAGCGGUGAAAUGCGUAGAUAUUAGGAGGAACACCAGUGGCGAAGGCGGCUUGCUGGACAAAUACUGACGCUGANGUGCGAAAGCGUGGGGAGCGAACAGGAUUAGAUACCCUGGUAGUCCACGCCGUAAACGAUGAAUGCUAGGUGUUGGGGGAAACUCANNGCCGCANUUAACACAAUAAGCAUUCCGCCNGGGGAGUACNACCGCAA